CAGUAGCCGCGGGAAUACGAAGGGGGCUAGCGUUGUUCGGAUUUACUGGGCGUAAAGCGCACGCAGGCGGACUUUUAAGUCAGGGGUGAAAUCCCGGGGCUCAACCCCGGAACUGCCUUUGAUACUGGAAGUCUUGAGUAUGGUAGAGGUGAGUGGAAUUCCGAGUGUAGAGGUGAAAUUCGUAGAUAUUCGGAGGAACACCAGUGGCGAAGGCGGCUCACUGGACCAUUACUGACGCUGAGGUGCGAAAGCGUGGGGAGCAAACAGGAUUAGAUACCCCUGUAGUCCCUGUCUCUUAUAC
Molecule: ribosomal RNA, 301 nt
Filed under: uncultured bacterium
Lineage: Bacteria
Description: partial 16S ribosomal RNA
Rfam family: Bacterial small subunit ribosomal RNA
Source: RNAcentral